AAGCUCAAGGGAAAAGGUGAGCAGGCUCAGGCCUGCCUGGCCUCAGUCAGCUCAUUCUGCCUCCAUCUGUCUCCAGGACACACAGCUCUGCAGGCUGUAGUAACAGAGGACUUCAGCUUUCCACGGGAGCGACUCAGAUCACCAAGGAUGUGUGGGAUAAAUGACAGCCACCAAAUGGGCUGGACAAGUAACCACUCCGGCUCGUGGAGGGUUCAAGACUCCAUGCAGCCUUUGAUGUCACCCUGAUGACGUCUGUCAUCUUCCCCACACCUGCUAUGACAUGGCUGCCUUCAGUCACAAGCCUGAUUCACAGCAUGCUCUAUGUUUAGCAGCGCUCUGAGAAGGAUUCCAGUCUGCCUUUAGCCCUAAAUAGCUACAAAUAUCGGAGUAGCAGCAGCAGCCCUUCAAAGGCCUUUUUAGGAAGAUUCACACCAGGGAUGGGAAUGACACACAGGAGCCUCAGGUAGGGCAAUGGAGAAAAGAAACUCAGGAUUGCUCAAAACACAGCCACCCAUACCUGAUGCUCAACACGCAGCCAGGCACACCGGAUGCCAGAAAGGUGCAGCCCAGCUGCUUGUAAGUGAAGGGUCGGGUGGGGAUGUCAGACAGUCCCGGGAUGAACUAAGGCUCUGUUCUAGGCAUGUAUUUAUAACUCAUAGUUUGUGUGUUCGCGGAAGACACAGAAAUAUUAUCAACUAGUAAGCAGGAUUGUGCAAGACUCUGCUCAUGACAAGUGAUUCCUCACAGGAGCCAAGAAAGCCCAGAGAUGUCCACCCUGAAUUACUGAUAAGACAUCAUCAGAUCGCCUUAGUUAGAUGCCGCUGACACACAUUCAGAGACCUGAUCUGGCAGAGUUUCCAGGUGUAUCGAAAGUACAUUGAGUUUAAGAUGAAUGAACUAUUGAACAGUGAGGCUCAGGGAGUGGCUAGUGGAUCAGUGGGUAAGAAAAGCACUGGACACGUGUGUGUGGCCUUGGUGACCUGAUCUACCAAGUAAAAAACGAGACAGUGGGUGUCUCUCUGGGUCACGAUCAUCAGAUAAAAGUCUGCUGUAACUCACUGUAAUCCUCAGGAGCUGCUCGGUGCUCCCCUCCCCCAUAGUUUUAGAAUAGGUGGGUGGGGCUGGGCUGCCAAAUGUGCCAACACCAUGUUUGGCGGCUGUGACUUGCAGCCUAGUCUGGAGCUGAGUGGAGGUGAGGACCGAGUGGAACAGCAAGGGACAAUGACUUAGUAAGCUGAUCUGUGCCAUAGUCUGUACAAAAUCCUCAACAGGGUGGGCUGCUUAUCCUCAGAGGUCACAGGAUCUCUGUGCUUGCCACCCCUAACUCUCUGUGUCCCUUGAACUUGGUUGUUCCUGAUUGUAUCUUUUGAAGUGAGCUGCUAAGUCCAAAGAAAGCACACCUUUUGGUGGUUUAUUUUAUUUAUGGUGUGUGUGUGUGUGUGUGUGUGUGUGUGCCAUUCUGACAAAUUUUAAAUCAUGGGGCAGAGCUCUGGGGCUCAGACCUUACAGUUUGUUGGUCACUAAUACAGUGGCCUGGUCUUUCAGUUGGUGUCUGAAGUAGACUAGAUAGUGUCGUGUGACUGAGCCCUUUACCUCUGGGGCUUGUGCUGACUCCGUGUAGUUAGUGUUAGAACUGAACUGAAUUGUGGGACACCAGAUGGUAUCUGGAGAGUUGGAGAGUUGAUUGGUGUGAAGAAAGAACCCACACAUUUGGUGUCAGAAAUGUUGUAAGUGAAAACAUUUUGGAGGUGGGAACUCAAAUCUCUAUUCUGUGACAUUCCAGCCCAGAAAAGCCAGGCCGUCACCCACCAGACUUGGCCUACUCUCCCUGUCUCAGAGAAGGUGAGACCCAGCUCUCCACUUCCAGUGUAACUGCUGGCUUGGUGGGAUUCUUAUCACGGAUGAUGCCCUCCGUUGUUGGCAGUGUAAGACUCUGUGAAUAAACACAAGGCAGCUGGGAGUUUGGUGUCCCCAACUGAACCAGGCAGCUGGGGCUGUGCUCCUAGUUCUUACAUGGCCCAGUAGACAUGGGUGAGAAGGGGUCUGCUGUCCAUGCUGGGCACAAACCUCAGAGGGUACAAGACACACAGGCGGCACUGACUGGUUUCCAUUUUUGAUUUCUGAAUUGUAUCAUGAUCUUAACAGGUUUAUCAGAGAGAGGGGGAGAGAGAGAGAGAGAGAGAGAGAGAGAGAGAGAGAGAGAGAGAGAGAGAGAGGCAGAGACAGAGACAGACAGAGAGAGACAGAGACAGACAGAGAGAGAGAUUAUAGUAUAUGUGUUUACCACAGCUACUGGGACAAGAAUCCACAAAGGUGUGAACACCUUUUUAUCCUAUUUAUCUAUAAUGGUUUUGAUUUCAAGAACACAGGAAAAAGCUGGUGGCUUCAAGGAAAAUACCCCACAUCACAUGACUGGCUGUAUAAAACCCUCAUUGUCAAUGGUUUAAGCCAAAAAGGAAAAAAAAAAGAUUUGUAUAAAAUGAUGACAAGAUAAAUAAAACAUCUUUAUAAAAUAAAAUAACACUUGUCUGUAACAAUAUGAGCACUGAUUUGAGCUUCUUUAUGAUGAAGCUUGAAAACAUGCUAAGUAAAAGAAGACAAUUGUAAGCACUACUUCCUGCCCUGCUUGUAAAGUGUCCAGAACAAGCAAAUCUGCAGAGACUCCAAGUGGAUUAGUGGUUGCCUAGGGAACCUCCCCUCAACCCUGUGUGUGAGUGUGGUGUGUGUGAGUGUGGUGUGAGUGGUGUGUGUGUGUGUGUGUGUGUGUUUGUGUGUGUGUGUGUGGGGGGUGUGAGUGUGGGGUGUGUGAGUGUAGUGUGUGUGAGAGUGGUAUGUGGUGUAUGUGUGUGUGUGUGGUGUGUGUGAGUGAGGUGUGUGUGUGAGUGUGGUAUGUGUGAGUGUGGUGUGUGUGAGUGUGGUGUGUGAGAGUGUGGUGUGUGUGAGUGUGGUGUGUGAGAGUGUGGUGUGUGUGAGUAUGGUGUGUGUGUGUGAGUAUGGUGUGUGUGUGUGUGGCGUGUGUGUGUGUGUGUGUGUGUGUGUGUGUGUGUGUGCACGUGUGUGAAUAGACCUGAUAUUUCAAUGACGGUUAGUAAGUGUAAUUGACCUGUGAUGUUCAGACCUCCUCCAAUCCCACUUUCUUUGGUAUUGGCAGACACUGAUUCCCUUGGAAACUUGGAUGACAUUGUCUUAUCCCUGGGGUGGGAAAAAGGAGGCAAAGAGAAGAAAGAGGAAAUGAGACUAUGCAACAAGAGGGUCUAACCUCCUUAUUUGCACUGUCAUUCCAUCUUAAAGUUUUAGUUCUUUGUUUGUUUUUAGAAAACCAUAGUGUUAGGAAGACAGGAAAACAUUGGGGUAGAUUCCAAAUGCACAGUAGAUAAAGACAGGAGGGGCAUUAUGGGGGUCCACAAAAAGAAGAGUAUGCCAAAGGGGUAAAAAAAAUCCUAGACAAAAACGUGCUGAGAAAAGUGUUUAUUAUCCAAACUGGCAUUAAAUGAAGCACAAAGCCUAAACUAUUCAAUUAUCUUACAAGUUAUUAAACAUAUUAUCAAAGCAUUACAAUUAGUCUCUGAAUAAGUAGUUUGGGGUAAAUUAUAUCAAAGAAUUAUUUCAAGAUUUUAAGUGUGUAAUUCACUAUAUUUGGUAAAUAUUUUUAUAACAUAGAAAAGAUGUGGAUCAAUUCAAGCUGACUUAAUUCCCUAAUAAACAGAGUAAUGCUGUUAGUGAAUCUGAAUUAUCACUGUCUGGUUUCCCAACCCUGUCUCCUGUUUUCUUUCUCUUUCUCUCUUUCUCUUCUCUCUCUCUCUCUCUC
Long non-coding RNA from Mus musculus (house mouse), 3808 nucleotides. RefSeq annotates it as predicted gene 4681. The record is from RefSeq and is a predicted model, not a curated record. The transcript has 4 exons. Lineage: Eukaryota; Metazoa; Chordata; Mammalia; Rodentia; Muridae.